RNAcentral lists this small RNA (29 nucleotides) under Bombyx mori (domestic silkworm). Its description in RNAcentral is "ovarian small RNA-842". Lineage: Eukaryota; Metazoa; Arthropoda; Insecta; Lepidoptera; Bombycidae. The record is from RNAcentral.
UAUAAACCAUAAUCGGGGCUGAUCCUGCC